AGGACGAACGCUGGCGGCGUGCUUAACACAUGCAAGUCGAACGGAAAGGCCCUUCGGGGUACUCGAGUGGCGAACGGGUGAGUAACACGUGGGUGAUCUGCCCUGCACUUUGGGAUAAGCCUGGGAAACUGGGUCUAAUACCGAAUAGGACCACGGGAUGCAUGUCCUGUGGUGGAAAGCUUUUGCGGUGUGGGAUGGGCCCGCGGCCUAUCAGCUUGUUGGUGGGGUGAUGGCCUACCAAGGCGACGACGGGUA
RNAcentral lists this ribosomal RNA (255 nucleotides) under uncultured bacterium. RNAcentral's name for it is "partial small subunit ribosomal RNA". It matches the Rfam family "Bacterial small subunit ribosomal RNA", at positions 26 to 285 of the family's 1533-position model. The record is from RNAcentral.